Molecule: ribosomal RNA, 292 nt
Filed under: uncultured bacterium
Lineage: Bacteria
Also listed under: 1 other name
Description: partial 16S ribosomal RNA
Source: RNAcentral
GGACUACACGGGUAUCUAAUCCUGUUUGCUCCCCUAGCUUUCGUGCCUCAGUGUCAGGAAUUGUCCAGAGACUCGCCUUCGCCACUGGUGUUCCACUUGAUAUCUACGCAUUUCACUGCUACACCAAGUAUUCCAGUCUCCCUUCCAAUCCUCGAGCGGGAUAGUAUUCAAUGCAGUUUCCGGGUUAAGCCCGGAGAUUUCACAUCAAACUUACCCUGCCACCUACGCACCCUUUACGCCCAGUGAAUCCGAACAACGCUUGGGACCUCUGUAUUACCGCGGCUGCUGGCAC